Oncorhynchus mykiss (rainbow trout) is the source of this 119-nucleotide ribosomal RNA. Lineage: Eukaryota; Metazoa; Chordata; Actinopteri; Salmoniformes; Salmonidae. The record is from Ensembl.
GCUUACGGCCACACCGGCCUGAGUACGCCUGAUCUCGUCCGAUUUCGGAAGCUAAGCAGGGUCGGGCCUGGUUAGUACUUGGAUGGGAGACCGCCUGGGAAUACCAGGUGCUGUAAGCU